AGUGAACGCUGGCGGCAGGCCUAACACAUGCAAGUCGAACGGCAGCACAGCAGUAGCAAUACUGUGGGUGGCGAGUGGCGGACGGGGGAGGAAUACAUGGGAAUCUACCCUGUCGUGGGG
RNAcentral lists this ribosomal RNA (120 nucleotides) under uncultured bacterium. RNAcentral's name for it is "partial 16S ribosomal RNA". It matches the Rfam family "Bacterial small subunit ribosomal RNA", at positions 29 to 141 of the family's 1533-position model. The record is from RNAcentral.